GACGAACGCUGGCGGCGUGCUUAACACAUGCAAGUCGAACGGAAAGGCCCUGCUUUUGUGGGGUGCUCGAGUGGCGAACGGGUGAGUAACACGUGAGUAACCUGCCCUUGACUUUGGGAUAACUUCAGGAAACUGGGGCUAAUACCGGAUAGGAGCUCCUGCUGCAUGGUGGGGGUUGGAAAGUUUCGGCGGUUGGGGAUGGACUCGCGGCUUAUCAGCUUGUUGGUGGGGUAGUGGCUUACCAAGGCUUUGACGGGUAGCCGGCCUGAGAGGGUGACCGGCCACAUUGGGACUGAGAUACGGCCCAGUCUCCUACGUGAGGCAGCAGUGGGGAAUAUUGCACAAUGGGCGGAAGCCUGAUGCAGCAACGCCGCGUGCGUGAUGACGGCCUUCGGGUUGUAAACCGCUUUCGCCUGUGACGAAGCGUGAGUGACGGUAAUGGGUAAAGAAGCACCGGCUAACUACGUG
This 468-nucleotide ribosomal RNA is filed under the name uncultured bacterium. RNAcentral describes it as "partial 16S ribosomal RNA". It matches the Rfam family "Bacterial small subunit ribosomal RNA", at positions 28 to 507 of the family's 1533-position model. The record is from RNAcentral.